This 253-nucleotide ribosomal RNA is filed under the name uncultured bacterium. RNAcentral describes it as "partial 16S ribosomal RNA". It matches the Rfam family "Bacterial small subunit ribosomal RNA", at positions 524 to 776 of the family's 1533-position model. The record is from RNAcentral.
UACGGAGGGGGCGAGCGUUGUUCGGAAUUACUGGGCGUAAAGCGCACGUAGGCGGCUUUGUAAGUUAGAGGUGAAAGCCCAGGGCUUAACCCUGGAAUUGCCUUUAAGACUGCAUCGCUAGAAUCGUGGAGAGGUGAGUGGAAUUCCGAGUGUAGAGGUGAAAUUCGUAGAUAUUCGGAAGAACACCAGUGGCGAAGGCGACUCACUGGACACGUAUUGACGCUGAGGUGCGAAAGCGUGGGGAGCAAACAGG